Telopea speciosissima is the source of this 171-nucleotide long non-coding RNA. RefSeq lists it as uncharacterized. The record is from RefSeq and is a predicted model, not a curated record. NCBI's taxonomy places the organism in Eukaryota, Viridiplantae, Streptophyta, Magnoliopsida, Proteales, Proteaceae. The transcript has 3 exons.
AUCCAUAAUUUUUAUCACCAAAACUGCUCUUCAAAACUUCUAAUGAAGAGCAAUCAUUUAUGAACCAUUUGUCAGUCAAUCUUGUAUGAAACACAGGAAGCUAAACCAUCAGCGAGAUGCACUGAUGCUAUAAGAUCAUCUUUUUCUCUGUGGGUGGAUCAUAAAUAAUGA